AGUGAAGGCAGAGAGAGAGGCAGGCUGGGUCCGCCUGGCAGCCUACGGGAGGAGGCGGGAGCCGGGAAGGAGGGGAGCCUAGGCCCGGCGUGGGGAGGCCGGCAGGAAGGGCCUCGAGCCCAGUGCGGACCUUUCUUCAGCCUCUGUGCGACCGAGCCGCGCGCCAGGCUCCUGUGCGAGGAGGACGCGCUGACUCCCUCCGACCUGGGCUCCGAUGGAGCAGAAAUAGCGGGACCUGGACUUGUGGCGCGCCUGGUGCCACAUCUCGGGCUCUGCGAGCGUCCUGGCGCGGGAUCCUGCCGUGAGAAGGAGUUGGGGCGGGGGACCCGGCGGGGCAUUGCGGGAGAAGGCCUGGGAUCCCUGGGAGCCUUGUAGCGUGGGGGAGUUCACUGUGUAGAGAGGUUUCAUGUCUUCAUCUAUAUAGUCACUUAUUUGUCUUAAAGUUCUCGAAAUUCCCUCUUAGAGAAGGAGAAAGUUAGAGAACUGGAGGCUGCGUACCCUGAUUACGCAGAAGGGAAGCAGCCUCGCAUUCCCCGGGGCAGGCCCCCGCCCGCGCGUCCCGCCAGUAGGGGAAUUUAGCGGACGGCUGCGGUUGUCUGGUGAAAGGCUAUCCAAGGAUAAGGGGCUUCACUUUUCCCAAGUAGGGGAAAGAGAAGGGGUCUACAGGGCUAGGGGUGGAGGGAGCGGAUGCAGUGAGCAGCCUCCGCAGAGAAAUUGACAAUUUAACCAGGGACCUGCGGCAGAGACAAGGCGGAGACACUCCCUUGCCCAGGAAAGCCGCCAGAGUCCGGCUUGUACCUGGGGAAGAAUCCUUAAGACGGUCUGGCCCAACACUCCUUUGCUCACAGAGAAAGGGGAGAAGACUCCCGAGGGUGAAAAUGGUACAUUCGGAGCUGGAACUCAGCUCGCUGACCCCAAGCAGUGUUCCCUUCUUUUCGCCAGGUUUGCAUCCAAGAGAGGGGAGGACAGGGGCAAAAGGAUGCAGGGAGGCUGCUGAUUUCCACUGAAGAGCUAAUUUCCUGUGAGACAUUAACAGUGAUUUAAGAAAAAGAUUCCUGUAACUGUAAUGUCUUACAAUAACAGAAUGCAGGAGAGCACAUAUCAAUGAAGAAAAGACAAAAUGUACUUAUCCAUGAAGCUGAGGUUAAGAAACCAGUGUCUUCAAGAGCCAGGGACAGCACUGGGUCUGUGCAGAGUUGAGAGAUGGUGAUGACAUGUGGUUUCCAGCAUUCCUCACCCAGUCCAGGGACACUGUGGGUGUGCCCAGCUUAAGUCCAGUAACUGGAAAUACAAGCCCAAGUUCUGGAGAGUUUGAGCUGCAGAGAUAUAUAUGGGAACACUUUGAAUCUUGACUCAUUGGCCAUAACCAGCAGAGUGGAAAAUACAAGAAGAGAAAAAAACAUUGAACUGCGAUUUUAUAACAUCCUUUACUAGGCAGAGAGAAGAGGAAACACCAGGAAAGAAAACUGUAUUACGAUGUGAAAACUUAAUGUUGAGAAAUUCAGGCAUCUUGGGGUUAGUGAGGAGAAGUUUUAGGGGCUUAGAUUCUUCUAAACACAUGUACAGAAAUGCAUAUUUCAUCUGAUAUCAAAUGGCAUUUAUAGUGCUAAUCUUUACCUCAAGACUUCACAUCUUUUGGUGAUUGCAUCUUUUAGGUUUAUAGCAGCUAAGUUUGCAUGAAAACACCAGGGCUGUUUCAUUUCAGUCAAGAAUUAAUGUUCAUUGAUUGUGCUUCUGCAUUUCAUGUAACUAUUGUAGAAUUUGUUUUAGUUUUAUGAGGGAAUAAUUGUUCCAACUUCUAUAUAACUCAGGAAUUUACUCUCAAACAACACUGUCAAUUAGUUACUUAUCUCUCUGGAAAUGAUCUGGGAACAUGGAGAGGAAAGGGAGGAAGGGGCAAAAUCUGACCACUUAAAUCUAAGCAUAUUAGAUCAUUUUAUGCUAGAAAGUCCUGAAUGAUGUGACUUUCGUUCUUGUAAAACACCUCUUUCCAUAGAUUCAUGGCCCAAACAGUAUAUAAAGAGUGGGGAAGGAACUGCAUUUGCAAAUAGUUCAAAUCAUUGCUCCAUCUUAACUACGCAGUUCACAAAGUGUGAAGAAAUGUGAUCAUCUCAAAAAAGAUAAUGGGGAAAAAAUAUGUUUUGUUCUGUGACUUUAAAGUCUUGCAAUAUUUUACAUAAAUGAUAAUGGGUGCUUUAAUAAGAACUCUUGAUACUUUUGUUAUUGUAUUCAAUAUAUGCAUAUAAUACAACAGGAUGAUAUUGUUUUGGAUUUGGAAAUGUAUUCUUUCUUAUGCAAUCUUAUGCAGUCAUACUGCUUGAAUAUCAUUACCUGAAUUUAUCUUUCUUUUUUUUGUUGUUGUUUUACACUCUACUUAUUUGGUGCCUGUCAGUCUUUUGUCGUCAGUUUAUAUUCUACUAAACUCAAAAAGACAAUCUCAUACCUUUUGUAAUUGUAGGCAUUCUUUACUAGAUUUUUAAAUACACUUCAAAAAUUCAAGUACUUUGAUUUCAUGCCAUCAAGUAGCUGAAUCUAUCCCCCCGUCUCUUUUUAAAUUUAAGUGAGUAGUUCAAUUUCUGUCACUUUCUACUUUGUGAAUUCUAAAUCUUUUAAAACCAUCUUGCCAUUUUUCGUGCACUUACCCUUACAGAAAACUCUGUGAAACACUACUUAUCUCUACUUUUAUGUUUUUAACUCCUUUUUUAUAUUACUAUUCCCUCUGCUUUCUAAAUGCACAUAUUAAUUUGUUCUUUUUAUUCUCUGUAGCUCUUCUCAGUGUAUGAAUUCAGUUUCCCAUCAGUCUCCAUACAAUUAAAAAAAAGUUGAGUAUUCUGUUAUUUUAAUAAGAUAUCUAGUGCCCAUAUUCUAAUUCUGCCCCUUAUUUUUAAUAUAAUUUUAUUGUUGAUUUAAAAUGACAACAGUUUCAAUUCCCAGAAAGUGAAAGGAAACAAAGGAAUAAUAUUAUAGGCUUAAUUUUUAUCAGUGAACUUGUAGGUGAAGAAAAGAUUUGGGGAAGGAAAUGAACAUAUUAUAUUGCAAAAUAGUAAGGAACAAUCAGAUGUGUUUUCUAGUCUCUGGAAAAGCAUGUUUCAAGAAAUUCAAUGAAAAGUUCAUCAUGCUUGCUUAGAUUGUUGAGAAGCAAAAACACUGAUGAACAUUUGGAAGCAAUGAGAAUGUAAUUCUAAUCAUACUCUUUUAAUAAUGUUGCAAAACUCUCCAAACACUACUCUGUGUGGAUGUCUUUCAGAAUAUGAUGAAUACUAGUAGUCUUAUUCUGCCCUUUUCUCUCUAUCACAAUAUAUACAUUCUAUAUUGCAUACACAUAUUUUCCAAAUAUUACAUAUAAUUUCAUGUAAUUUAUAGACCUAUUAAGGCCCAACCAUUUUCUUGGAUAGGGGAUUCUUUAGAAGUCCAGCUUAAAUAAAGCCCGUAUAGAAAGUUUUUUUAAAAUUUAUACAUAAUCACCUAAAGUAACCUUAUCUACUGAACUCUUAGUACAUGCUACUGGAACCUUUUAUCAUGUUUCUUCCUGGCUUGCAUUACAACACUGUUGACAUAUCUCAGCCUUACUUCUAGGCUUCUUUGAGAGCAUGACUCAUGUUUGUAUUCCUCACUGAGGUUGAAUGAAUAAGAGAAACUACAGUAGUAGGAAAAAACAGUACAUGUACAUAUCAAUGAAUAUGAAAGGGUCAAAUGGAUCUAUUAUAGUAAGCACAAAAUCAACUGACACCAGCAAAGUAAACCCAAAAUUUUUAAUGGUAUUUUAAUAGAUCAAGAGGAGCAAGCAGAUUUUUGAGACAGUUGUCUCCUACUUUCUCUAUCACAGGGAGUAAUUUUAAAAGAAAAAUGGAGGGUAAGUUUCUUUAAGAGAAAAUUGUAGUUUAAAACAGGUCAUGGGAUAAUUAGAAAUAAUUUAAUUUCUUUAGAGGAUUUUAAUCUUUCAACUGCUUGCAAUUAGAUCCUAAGGCAAUAAAAGAAUAAGGAGAUUUGGAAAACCAUUGUCUGUAAUCUCUGAAGAAAAGUGGACAUUAGGGGAGUCAGUUGAAAAGCAAAGCUAUCACCAUUUUCUAAAGAGGAAAAAGGUGAACCUCACAAACUAUAGACCAAAAAAAUAGGACAUCGAGAGAAAGAAUAUGAAGCUAGCAUAGGUUCACAAAGAAUGAGUCAAAUCAAACAACAUGCAUUUUUUAUUUAUAAAGCAUGACUUGUUCAUUGUCAAUUCAUGUUAGCUUAAUCAUUAGGCAUUAAUGCCAUCACUGCAAUGCAUAUGUCAGCAAUAAAUAAUCAAAGACCAGGCUUCCAUCAUUCUGUUUAAUAUCUUCAAGUAAUGCUUAAGUUUGCAAAUGCUCUUUUAACACAUUCUCCAUAUGCAGCCUGCCCAGCACUGCACACAAUAGACCUGUUACUUCCCCCUCACGAGCACUCCUAAUAUUUCAUGUGCUCAUCCAAUUGACUUCUCCCACUGGUGCCUCAUAUUGAAUUUGUAGAAUCACACCUGCUCCUUUUUCAAAACUCUUCUGAGUUUUUUCUUAAAUAAUUCACUGACCCCAAAGUUGUCAGAUAUUUGAAGACUACUCGCACAAUUUUAAUAUUAUAAAUGUAUAAUGUAAAUGUAAUUAAGAUUUGUAUAAUGUACGAUGUACUUUGGUAAAUAAAAGUAUGCUGUGAAUAAAUACGUAUGAUACAAUUCAAAAUUUUACAUAAAUAUGUGAUAAAAUUUAGCUCAUAUUCUUUUUUUUUUUCUUUGAGACGGAGUCUCACUCUGUUGCACCCAGGCUAGAGUGCAGCAGCAUGAUCUCAGCUCACUGCAACCUCUACCUCCUGGGUUCAAACAAUUCUCCUGCCUCAGCCUCCUGAGUAGCUGGGAUUACAGGUGCCCGCCACCAUGCCCAGCUAAUUUUUUUCUAUUUUUGUUGUUGUUGUUGUUUUUAGUAGAGACGGGGUUUCACCAUGUUGGUCAGGCUGGUCUUGAACUCCUGACCUCAGAUAAUCCACCUGCCUCGGCCUCCCAAAGUUCUGGGAUUACAGACGUGAACCACGGUGCCCGGCCUAGUUCAUGUUCUUUAAGGACAAUUAUGAAUAUUUUUAUGCACUGUUAAUUUUCAUUAAGAUAUUGAUCAAUUAAUAGCUAUAUAUGUUCUAUAAAUUAAUCCUAUCUAGUUUCAAUCUUAAAUUGUUUGCAUAUACCAAUCUAGUUUAUUGUUUGCAUAUAUUUUAUAGUGUAGAGAUUAGGCAUUUUAAUAAAAUUUUAAAAUUUCCAGGACAUACUGUUAAUGACUAUGCUUCCUACUAUAGGCCAUAAUUAAUUUUUUUCUAUUGUCAACAAUAUUUUGGUAGGGAUGAUCAGGAAAUAAGGAAAUGUUUCCUUCAUUUGUUAACAAUAGGUGUUUGGGGAUUUUAAAAUGAAAAUUGAAGAAGUAAAAGACACCAUAUAUUUAGUUUGUUUGAUUUCGUGGCUUCAAGAGUUCAAUAAUUUAUUGAAAUAUUUUACAGACCAAAGAACAACAGAUAUAUUACGUUUAUAAGCCCCCACAUAUUUUAAAGGAUAAUGGUUUAUAUAUGAAAAUUCCCUGAACCUACACUUCAUC
This 5588-nucleotide long non-coding RNA is filed under the name Homo sapiens (human). RNAcentral's name for it is "HSALNT0341719". Lineage: Eukaryota; Metazoa; Chordata; Mammalia; Primates; Hominidae. The record is from RNAcentral.